GAGUUUGAUCCUGGCUCAGGACGAACGCUGGCGGCGUGCUUAACACAUGCAAGUCGAACGCUGAAGCUCAGCUUUUGUUGGGUGGAUGAGUGGCGAACGGGUGAGUAACACGUGAGUAACCUGCCCCCUUCUUUGGGGAUAACGCCCGGAAACGGGUGCUAAUACUGGAUAUUCACUGGUCUUCGCAUGGGGGUUGGUGGAAAGGGUUUUUCUGGUGGGGGAUGGGCUCGCGGCCUAUCAGCUUGUUGGUGGGGUGAUGGCCUACCAAGGCUUUGACGGGUGGCCGGCCUGAGAGGGUGACCGGUCACAUUGGGACUGAGAUACGGCCCAGACUCCUACGGGAGGCAGCAGUGGGGAAUAUUGCACAAUGGGCGCAAGCCUGAUGCAGCGACGCCGCGUGAGGGAUGGAGGCCUCGGUUGUGA
RNAcentral lists this ribosomal RNA (423 nucleotides) under uncultured microorganism. RNAcentral describes it as "bacterial SSU rRNA". It matches the Rfam family "Bacterial small subunit ribosomal RNA", at positions 9 to 428 of the family's 1533-position model. The record is from RNAcentral.